Molecule: ribosomal RNA, 253 nt
Filed under: uncultured bacterium
Lineage: Bacteria
Description: partial 16S ribosomal RNA
Rfam family: Bacterial small subunit ribosomal RNA
Source: RNAcentral
UACAGAGGGUGCAAGCGUUGUUCGGAGUUAUUGGGCGUAAAGCGCGCGCAGGCGGCCUCGCGCGCCCGACGUGAAAGCCCCCGGCUUAACCGGGGAGGGUCGUUGGGGACGGCGGGGCUUGAGGGCGGGAGAGGGUGGUGGAAUUCCCGGUGUAGUGGUGAAAUGCGUAGAGAUCCGGAGGAACACCAGUGGCGAAGGCGGCCCCCUGGGCCGCGCCUGACGCUGAGACGCGAAAGCGCGGGGAGCGAACGGG